UGUGUGUGUGUGUGUGUGUGUGUGUGUGUGUGUGUGUGUGUGUUAACGUGUGCAGCAAGUAAAGUUUAUGUAUAGUAUCAGUGUGUGAUUGUACUGCAUAUAUAAGUAAAGAACAUAGGGGUGGCAGGCACUUUCUGAACUCCUGACCUUGUGGUGAACUUAGGCCCAUUGCCAUUCAGCAAGCAUCACUGUGAGCCUGCUAGCAAUGUUGGCUAAUUACAACUGUGAUGCUUGUUGCGCCCUGCACCCCCUCCUCCUGCCCCCGAUCUCCUCAGAGCCCUUGUGCAAAUGCAUGAGUGUGCGCCUGAUGCCUUUAGCACGACUCAAAGGAAACAAGGUCUAGACAGACACCAUCUCGGAUAAUCUCAUGCACAAACUCUUUCUCAACGGAGAACUAAAACCUUGUCUGGCAAGCACAUGUUUCAUGCUCGUCUAACUCCAAAAUUUUCACGUUUAGUUUUUAAUCAUGCUCGUUCCAGUUCAAGGGAAUAUGCGUAUAAUGAGUGUAAAUGGUGUCAAGGGGUUGUCCUGUCCGGGAAGAACUUCUUUUGUGUGGCCAAUAAAUACUGUAUGGAAACAAUUAUUUUAACACAUAACAUGAAAGAAGAGAUUAGCAUCUACUCUUCUGGUAAGAUUUUGAAGAUUCUCUGAUUUUCUUUUUUUAUUUAGUUUUUUGUUCGUUCAUCCAGACAAAUAGCAAUAAGGCACUACACUCUGUUGUACAGGACAUAGUUGAGGUCAGGGUCUCCACCUGUGAUCUUGUCCAAUAUAAUACAAUGUUGUCAAGGUAUUUUCUUGUAUCGACUGCCUUUUUUUUGUCUUUGGG
This is a long non-coding RNA of Syngnathus acus (greater pipefish), 826 nucleotides long. RefSeq lists it as uncharacterized. The record is from RefSeq and is a predicted model, not a curated record. The transcript has 3 exons. NCBI's taxonomy places the organism in Eukaryota, Metazoa, Chordata, Actinopteri, Syngnathiformes, Syngnathidae.